GAUGAACGCUGGCGGCGUGCCUAAUACAUGCCAGUCGAGCGAACGGACGAGAAGCUUGCUUCUCCGAUGUUAGCGGCGGACGGGUGAGUAACACGUGGAUAACCUACCUAUAAGACUGGGAUAACUUCGGGAAACCGGAGCUAAUACCGGAUAAUAUUUUGAACCGCAUGGUUCAAAAGUGAAAGACGGUCUUGCUGUCACUUAUAGAUGGAUCCGCGCUGCAUUAGCUAGUUGGUAAGGUAACGGCUUACCAAGGCAACGAUGCAUAGCCGACCUGAGAGGGUGAUCGGCCACACUGGAACUGAGACACGGUCCAGACUCCUACGGGAGGCAGCAGUAGGGAAUCUUCCGCAAUGGGCGAAAGCCUGACGGAGCAACGCCGCGUGAGUGAUGAAGGUCUUCGGAUCGUAAAAUUCUGUUAUUAGGGAAGAACAUAUGUGUAAGUAACUGUGCACAUCUUGACGGUACCUAAUCAGAAAGCCACGGCUAACUACGUG
RNAcentral lists this ribosomal RNA (497 nucleotides) under uncultured bacterium. RNAcentral's name for it is "partial 16S ribosomal RNA". It matches the Rfam family "Bacterial small subunit ribosomal RNA", at positions 28 to 507 of the family's 1533-position model. The record is from RNAcentral.